UCCCAGGUGGCUUAGUGGUAAAGAAACUGCCUGCCAAGCAGGAGAUGUGGGUACAGUUUCUGUGUUGGGAA
RNAcentral lists this transfer RNA (71 nucleotides) under Ovis aries (sheep). It matches the Rfam family "tRNA". Rfam says of the family: Transfer RNA (tRNA) molecules are approximately 80 nucleotides in length. Their secondary structure includes four short double-helical elements and three loops (D, anti-codon, and T loops). Lineage: Eukaryota; Metazoa; Chordata; Mammalia; Artiodactyla; Bovidae. The record is from Rfam by way of RNAcentral.